Molecule: ribosomal RNA, 253 nt
Filed under: uncultured bacterium
Lineage: Bacteria
Description: partial 16S ribosomal RNA
Rfam family: Bacterial small subunit ribosomal RNA
Source: RNAcentral
UACGUAGGGUGCGAGCGUUAAUCGGAAUUACUGGGCGUAAAGCGUGCGCAGGCGGUUUUGUAAGCCAGAUGUGAAAGCCCCGGGCUCAACCUGGGAAUGGCAUUUGGGACUGCAAGGCUGGAGUUUGGCAGAGGGGACUGGAAUUCCUGGUGUAGCAGUGAAAUGCGUAGAUAUCAGGAGGAAUACCGAUGGCGAAGGCAGGUCUCUGGGCUAUAACUGACGCUCAUGCACGAAAGCGUGGGGAGCAAACAGG